This 327-nucleotide ribosomal RNA is filed under the name uncultured eukaryote. RNAcentral's name for it is "partial 18S ribosomal RNA". It matches the Rfam family "Eukaryotic small subunit ribosomal RNA", at positions 1470 to 1796 of the family's 1831-position model. The record is from RNAcentral.
CCCUUAGAUGUUCUGGGCCGCACGCGCGCUACACUGAUGCAUUCAACGAGUUUCUUCCUGGUCCGAGAGGAAUGGGUAACCUUUUGAAAGUGCAUCGUGAUAGGGAUAGACUAUUGCAAUUAUUGGUCUUCAACGAGGAAUUCCUAGUAGACGUAGUUCAUCAGACUGCAUCGAUUACGUCCCUGCCCUUUGUACACACCGCCCGUCGCUCCUACCGAUUGAAUGGUCCGGUGAGGCUUUGGGAUCUGAGCGGAAAGAGCGUUUCGCUGUUUCUGCUCGGAAAACUCAGUCGAACCUUAUCAUUUAGAGGAAGGAGAAGUCGUAACA